Molecule: non-coding RNA, 456 nt
Organism: Paramormyrops kingsleyae
Lineage: Eukaryota; Metazoa; Chordata; Actinopteri; Osteoglossiformes; Mormyridae
Source: the annotation of a RefSeq genome assembly
GCAACACAAUGACUUUAAUCACCAUCUUCAUCUGGAUCCUCACCCUCUGCAUCCAAGAAUCCAGAGGCCAGAUUACUGUGACUCAGACACCUGCAGUAAAAGCUGUUAUUGUAGGAGAAACCGUGACCAUUAGCUGUAAAACCAGCAGCCCUAUAGAUUAUGAUGACGUUUCAUGGUACCAACAGCAGACUGGAGAGCCGCCAAAACUCCUCAUAUAUGAAAUAAGCAGCCGUCAGUCUGGGACUCCAGAACGAUUCACUGGCAGUGGAUCCAACUAUGGGUCUGACUUCACUCUGACCAUCAGUGGAGUCCAGGCUGAAGAUGCAGGAGAUUAUUACUGUCAGAGUUUCCACUACCCCAAUAGUCAACACGUGUUCACACAGUGAUACAGAACCAUACAAAAACCUCCCUCAGUCAGACUGCACAGUGACUGCACUGCUGCAGCUGGGACUCACU